Non-coding RNA from Salmo salar (Atlantic salmon), 1061 nucleotides. The record is from RefSeq and is a predicted model, not a curated record. Lineage: Eukaryota; Metazoa; Chordata; Actinopteri; Salmoniformes; Salmonidae.
CUACAAUAAUGUGGCAUACAGACUGUGACUUUCUAGUUAACCUUCCUUUCUCAAGUAGUUAAUGUUUCUUCUUUCAGAACCUGUUCAUAAUCCUCUUCCUAUUUACAUGUUGAACUCUACAUCUGAAACUAUGAAAAUCACAACAUUGAAAUAACCAACGGCAACAAAUACAAUAAGGUUUCUUGCCGCUUCACUUCAUGAACCCCUGAUGACAUCAGAGUGGGAUGAAUGUGUCUGAUCAACUUGCCCUCGCACUCCCUUGGGGCAAAACCUUUAUAUAGAAUUAUGAUCCCAGAGUAUCUUAUUGGUUGCAUUGCAUCAACCAAUGGUUGCAUGCCACGUCAAAUUGCUAUAUCAUAUGAUGUGGUUAGCUGAUAUGCAGACUCAGGCGUUCUGAGAUCUGGCAUGCUUCUCCAAUGUAGUUAGCAUGGAGGGUGGCCAUUGUGUUUCAGAACCACAGAUUUCACAAAUCCUGCAACUAAAGUAAUUUCACAGAGUAGGUAACUGCUCACUGCUCCAAAAACGACCUUCUGACACCAUGUAUCUAGUCUGUGUUGACUGACUGUUUGGCCUUCAUUCCAACCUUUUCCUGCCACCGUGGAUUCUAUUUAUAGUCAUCUCAUAAAAGUGUGAAGCCUUGGCUAUGUGUGAAGCCUCCGCUAUGCUGACAAAGCGGUCUUGCCUCCAACUCAUUGCAAUUUGAACCCUCUGGUAAAUCUGGAUAAGUAUAACAUUACCGAAUACAUUAAAAUACUUUUUUUCCUAAACGGGUCUAGACUUGUUAUUGCUUGUUUAGCAGAUGGGGAUUUCUGAAACUUACUCCUCAGGACUUGAACUCCAUUGAAAACCUGUGGUUUGAAUUGAAGAGGGCAGUCCAUCAGUGCAGACAUCCAAGAUUUACCACCAUAUUUGACAGUAGACCACCACAUCCUUCCACAACCUAACCUUCCUACCGGCCUUUCAAGCUCCAACUCCUAAACCUUAAUCAACAUCCAUUCCAAACCCUCCCCUAUGAAUUCUGUGUUCCUGUUCCACUGUGUAUUAAAUACCCUAAACCUGGA